Salmo salar (Atlantic salmon) is the source of this 1448-nucleotide non-coding RNA. NCBI's taxonomy places the organism in Eukaryota, Metazoa, Chordata, Actinopteri, Salmoniformes, Salmonidae. The record is from RefSeq and is a predicted model, not a curated record.
UUAGGCUGGGUUUCUGUACACUACUUUGUGACAUCAGCUGAUGUAAGAAGGGCUUUAUAAAUACAUUUGAUUUGAUUUGACAAGGUCAAUUUAGAAUGUGUAAUUUAUCCCGUGGGAGCUUUUGUCCCGAACCCAUUACGGCGUUUUAAGUGCCAAGGUUUUGGUCAUGUUGCAGCAGUGUGUAGGAGGGAGAUUGCUAAAUGGGAGAAGUAUUCAGGGCGGCAUGAGACAAAGGAAUGUGUACUGUCGGUUUUAAAAAGCUGUGUGUGUGUUAGCUGUGGGGGUGCCCAUGGUGUUGGAGAUCGGAGGUGUCCAGUGAGAGAAAGGUAGGUUGAGGUUGCCGGGAUCAGAGUAGUACAGAAGGUGUCAUAUGCUGAGGCAGUGUAGAGAGUAGCAGAGGAAUAUGGAUCUAGGGCGAGAGAUCCUGAGAGGAUUCCUGUGAGUAGGCCGAGUCCAAUAGAGAGUGAUUGGAAUAAUAUUUGUUUCAGUAAGGUCCCUGAAAACUGUCUCCACUUCUUUCCUGUGCAAGAACUACGAGCCAAAUGUCAGAGAAAUUGUGGACUAAUACACAAUGUAUUUGGAGGUUUUACAGGGGCAUAAACGACCGUGGACAUGAACAGCCCAACCCCAGAGACCAAACACUAAACUCUUCCAGAGGAAAUACCACUGUGACAGGGCUUCCUGUGAUGGAGAUAGCCCAGCCUGUGAGGAGGGGACUGGGCUGAGAGAGAGAUGAAACUGCCCUGGAUGAAAUGUAUUACACAGAGCUAUCCCACCACCCACCCACCCGCCCACAAGAUUUUGAUAACCUGCCAACCCACAUCACUGGAUGACUAAAGAUUUGAAGGGGAAAAGACAGCAUCAACAUGUCUUCAGUCAGAUACAACAAUUCAAACUAGUCAUAGACUGUUCUCUCUGCUACCACACGGCAAGUGGUACCGGAGCACCAGUCUAGGUCCAAAAGGCUCUUUAACAGCUUCUACCCCCAAGCCAGUAGACUGCUGAACAACAGCUAAUCAAAUGGCUACCCAGACUGUUUGCAUUGACCCCCUUUUUUACGCUGCUGCAACUCAACUUCUUCAGUUCCCUCACUGAGUCUGUGUGGGUAAAUAAAGAUGUAAUAAUAAAGACCCUGUAUGGCUGUGUUGAUGUUAUGCUAACUAAAAGUAUUCGCAAUGGCAAUUAGAAGGCAAUUAAAUUGUUCCCAACAGAAAACAACAUGUGGAUCCACUUUGAGCACUGCACAUAUCUACAGAAUGCAUCCAAAAGCUGCACUUAAUAAUACUUCACUCACUCAGGCUUUUUUGUUCUCUGUAAAUUACUGCUUUCAGACGUUUGAUCCCAGAAAAUAACCAUCAAUCUUUGUUAAUGGCUGUUGUAUAGGCUAAUACUGUAUGUAUAUAUGCCAUGUUCUAAAUGUCAUCUAAUGUGUAAUAUGUCACAUCUAA